AAGGUUGAGGUAGCUUUGGCACACCACAACAUGGCCAGGAGAUCUUGAAGCUUCACGAAUGAAUCCCAUGCCUUGAGCUUGUGGAUUGUUGUAGAUCAUUAAGCAUAAAUGCAUAUGAGAUGACAUGUAUGGGAUGUAUGCUUAUCUAUUAGGGUUUAAGAUGGUGAUGUGGAGGUAAGGUAAAUUUGAGGGUAUGACAAGUUGUGUCUUGAAUCCCUAUUUAUUUAUUGUUGAUGUUUAAUGCCUUACAUGAAUAGUCUCAUCACUAUAAUCC
Molecule: long non-coding RNA, 274 nt
Filed under: Lathyrus oleraceus (garden pea)
Lineage: Eukaryota; Viridiplantae; Streptophyta; Magnoliopsida; Fabales; Fabaceae
Description: Pisum sativum (pea) long non-coding RNA (PSAT_LNC024279)
Source: RNAcentral